CUCGCCGUCCAGCCAGUUACUCCCGGAAGCGCUGGGACGGGUGGUGAGGGGUCCGGGCCGGAUGGCGCGCCUUAGAGAGGAUGCUGUUCGUGCUGCUUUCCGUGCCGUGUUUUCUGAAAGCUUAAAUACAGACCAGAAGAGGAGUUUGGGGCUUGACACCUGACAUCUUAACACCAGUUCCUGUUUCUUGAGGAAGGAAGAGGUAAAAUAAAUCAGCAUUUACUGUGUCCUUCUCCAUCCCCGGAAGUCUUCAUGAAGACCCUCUCAGCUUCUACUUGAACGUGAAUAUGAGCAACUGAUCAUCUGUUCUGCAGUCAGCCCCUGGCCUGAUUCUGACUCAUGGUAUUGACCUUCUCCAUCAUCACCUUCCACAAAUUUGAUUCCUAUCUAUUCUGCCUGGAAUGGUUCACGAGUAUAGUCACCAUUUAUGUUCCUGACGAAAGCAGGUGAAGGCAUUCGUGGAGAGAGGCGAUUUCCAUGCGUGCAGGAAAGUGUGUGCUGAGAUGAUGAGUCGCUGGAGACCGGGGUGGACUCUUCAGACCCAGGAUAGGCCUCUGGCAGGUAUGUGUCAAUGUUUUCUGCCCAUGGCACUCACCCGGGUAUUUGCAUAGAAUGUCGUCAGCGGAAUUAGUAGUCUCCGGAGAGGCUGCCACAUGUCAACAAGCUUCACCUGGCCAGAGUACACCCGUGAUGUAGCUCCCCAAUCAGUCACCUUCCCCCUUUGCUCUUUCGUCUCUAGGCACUCUAUCAGGCACUCCAAGCUGUGAAGUGACUCAGGGAGAGAAGGAAGAGAUUUCAGAGAAUGAACACAUACAGAGAGAGAGGCAAGAGAUGCUGAGUGAGGAUGUCUUGCGUACUGAUAUCCUGAGGAAAGUGGGAAAAUUGGACCCUGGCCUGCUCUGCCAAUGCCCUGAAGCAGUCCGCACCAGGGGCUCCCUUGUGCCUGCGUAGCCUUUCCCAGGGUGUGCUCAAAUCCUGUGGCCACUAGGUGUCCUAGGUCACAAUGGAGGACCCUGUGUCAUCUGCCUGGUGGACUGGAUCUCUGCCAUUGGCUGAGUCUUGUCACCAGGCCCAUCAUAAGCUCUGCCCACUCUUCCGGUGGGGAGACUCUCUCCAUGGUGAUGGCAAAGAAACCUUAGUCCCGCCCACCUGGCCUUGACUUCACCUACCUGGCCUGCUGACCCUCACUCAGACCUCUGUGUCGAUCAAAAUGAAUGUUCACCAGUUGCCCGGUGUCAGCAUCUGGUAUAAAGGAUUCGGGACCUUGCCUGAGGCAGAAGGCAGCCUAGGUCUGCGGGUACCUGGAAGUCUAGUGACUUGUGACGCUGCUGCCAGUGAGAAAUGGUGACUCCCAUACUCACAUAUCCCCUGGUGGCAGAAUGAUAGUGAUGGGUGGAGAAACAUGGUUCCGGAGCACACGUUCAGUCGGGCACCGGCCAAAUGCCACGGCCAGGAGUGGACGUUGUGGAGCUGCAUGGCGAGCCAGUGAAGGGCCCAAGGAUUUCUCCAAUGAGGCAAAAUGCAGAUCAAGCCAAGGAACAUAAAGAUAAAGCAGCUGAAGAAAUUAAAAAGGUUACUCAAGAACAUAGUUAAAAAUUUAAUAAGCUGCAAGAAACCAUAGAGAGACUGCAAUCAGAGAUUCAGAAGAUUAACAAUAAAAUUACAGAGUUAGAAAACUCAAUAGAAAGUAAGAAGAGCACAACUGAGGAAUUGGAAGGCAGAAUUACUGAGAUUGAAGGUGAAACUCUUGGGACUAAUAUAUUUGAAGAGAAAGCAGAUAAAAGAAAUUUAAAUGAAGAAAUCCAAAGAAUCAUAUGGGACUUUAUCAAGAGAAAUAACUAUGAGUGAUUUCAGUACCAGAACAGGGAGGGCUAACAGAAAAUACAAAGGGAACUGUUGAAGAUUUGUUGGCAGAAAACUUCCAUGAUAUCAUGAAAGAUGCUCAUCGAAUUCCACAUAAGGUAGAUCUCAAAAGAAAGUGACCGAGACACAUAAUAAUCAAACUUGCCAAAAUCAAAUAUAAAGAGAAUUUUAAGAGAGGCUAGGGAUAAAGGAAGUCACCAACAAAGGAGAGUAAAUAAUAAAAAACUUGGACUACUCAGCAGAAAUCAUGCAGGCAAGAAGGCAAAGGGAUGACUUACACAAAAUAUUGAAGGAAAAAAAUUGCCAGCCAGGAAUCAAACCAUAACCCUGGCCCUCUGGCCUUCUGGCCCUCUGGCCUUAGCCCUCUAACUCUAGCCCCUAAGCCCUGAGCCCCAAAGCCCCUAAGACCCUAAGCCCUUAGGUCCUAACCCCCAAGGCCCUAAACCCUAACCCUAACCCAAACCCUAACCCCUAUAGCCUAAACUCUACAACCUAAACACCUACACCCCAAAACACUACACAUCAAAACCCUACACACUAAACCCUAUACUCUAAGCCUCAAACCCUAAACCCAAACCUCAAAUUCCAAACCCUAAACCUAACCGUAAACCCUAAACCCUAACACCUAACCCUAACCCCUAACCACCCUAACCCUAAUGACCCUAACCCUAACCCUCGAACCCUAACCCUCUAACGCUAACAUGAAACCCUAAUCCGAAACCCUAACCCUCUAACUCUAACCUCUAACCCUCUAACCCUAGCCCUAAUCCUAACCCCAACCUCCAAACCUAACCCCAAACCCUAAACCUCAAAUCCCUAGCCCUAAACCUAAGAAUGAGCCUAAGCCUAACCCUAUCACUUAACUCUAAACCCUAAACCAUAACA
This is a long non-coding RNA of Loxodonta africana (African savanna elephant), 2748 nucleotides long. RefSeq lists it as uncharacterized. The transcript is spliced from 4 exons. The record is from RefSeq and is a predicted model, not a curated record. NCBI's taxonomy places the organism in Eukaryota, Metazoa, Chordata, Mammalia, Proboscidea, Elephantidae.